Molecule: non-coding RNA, 1423 nt
Organism: Manis javanica (Malayan pangolin)
Lineage: Eukaryota; Metazoa; Chordata; Mammalia; Pholidota; Manidae
Source: RefSeq, a predicted model, not a curated record
UUUGCUUGAAAGCCACCAGUUCUAUGAUCUAAAAGGUAAUGCAGCAUUGGUACCAAAUUAGUUCUGCCCACUGCGGUGCACCUCUCAGCCCGGAAGCCAGCGCCACGGGGACGCUGGACAGGCGCUGCGUGCUGUCCUCCACGCACAAAGCUAGCAGCCCCAUUUGCAACUUUGCUAACUUAGCUGGCUCCCGCCCAGCCGGCCCCCGAAGCACAGUCACCGUGAAAACGUUUUGGUACCAGAAAACCAUUUCCACGACAGUGCGAGUGUUCGAAAGCACAAAGGCAGACACUGGCGACCGCGCUAGCUAGGAAGUUUCGGCACUCGGGGAGGCUGGGCGGAGCACGCGGCCAGGCAAACCUGGAAUGCUACUGAUUCUGAGAAGCCAAGGACACCAAGGAUCCUCUGUCUUCUGAUGGGAGCUCACACAGUUUUCUGCCUCCCCUUCAGGGACUUCUUGUCCCCUUGUACCACAUCAGUAGACUCCAGGUGCUGUCCAUGCUUUUGGCUCCUGAACCCACAGCUGAGUAGGAUGCCUUAGGGAGCAUCACCAUUCAAGAAGUGGUGCGGGGAAGAACCCAAAAGAAACCCAUGGAUUCUGAGAGUGUUAGAAAUAGACUAUUUUCAUUGUCUGAGGUGUACACUGACCUAACAUUAUGGGAUUAUAAUUUGGUAGUAAAUGCCAUGCAUCUGAGAACAACUAUGGCUGACAUGUCCCGAUAGUACAUAAAACUUUAAACCUGAAUGUUGCUGGGACGUUGCUGCUGAGGAAACGUGGGGCUGCUCCUGGUGGGCACAGCUGGGUUGCCCCAAACCUGAGAACUGCUCACUGCCUGCCCGACCCAGAGCCUAUCAGCCUCUCCCGGAGCUGCUUGCAGGAGCAGACAGAGAGAAAGUCCUCUCAGGAACUGAGAGCGAAGCCGUUGCAGUAUCACAGAGCGAAUGAAACUCCGACAGUAUUUCCAUGGGAGGAGAACAAAUCCUCUGUCGGGCCAGUCUGAGGCAUUGGGUCCCAGUUCUCAGGCCCUCCUUGGAGCUCUCCAGGAGACAGCUUCUUAUUCUUUCCCACUGGCCUUGAAGGUUCUACAUGAUGCUGUGUCCCCUGGGCAUUGCAACCUCGUGUCGUCCUGCUUUCUCCUCACUCAGUGCAUUCCAGCCAUGCUGGUUUUUGUAAGACCGGAGGUACCGGAGGAAGGGAUGGGUCUCACUGGAGGAACCCGACUCGAACUAAGUAAGGAAGAGAACGGCGAAUGUCACUGAAAUGAUUCAAAGGGAGGUCCCCUGCCACAAGUCCUGCCUAGAACAUGCGCCACAGUACUCUCUUCCCAGCAACCCAGCAGGACCAAUCAUCAGUGAUUACGACACCCACACUGGCCAAUUAGUUCUGUUUCCAAUACCCUCAGGGCUCUCCCAGCUCCCCUGA